RNAcentral lists this ribosomal RNA (166 nucleotides) under Graddonia sp. RNAcentral describes it as "partial large subunit ribosomal RNA". It matches the Rfam family "Eukaryotic large subunit ribosomal RNA", at positions 99 to 261 of the family's 3401-position model. Lineage: Eukaryota; Fungi; Ascomycota; Leotiomycetes; Helotiales; Tricladiaceae. The record is from RNAcentral.
CGGUAACAGCUCAAAUUUGAAAUCUGGCUCUUUCAGGGUCCGAGUUGUAAUUUGUAGAAGAUGCUUUGGAUGUGGCUCCGGUCUAAGUUCCUUGGAACAGGACGUCAUAGAGGGUGAGGAUCCCGUAUGUGACCGGCUGCCUACGCCCGUGUAAAGCUCUUUCGAC